AGUAAUAACGAGGCCCGCGUGAACAAACUCCAUCUCCUUGAAGAAAGGAGGGAUACCUCCCAAGUGAAUUUGGCAAAGUAUCAUAGGAGAUAACCCGUUAUUAUAGCUCCAAGGUCAUAAACCGAACUCUUUGCUUAGGAGACCUCGUCCUCAGAAGGGUCUUUCAAUCAUCAAAGCCAACCGGGUCAGGUGUGUUCGGACCAAACUAGGAGGGCCCUUACCGCAUCCGCAGGGAAUCCUGACCUGUCACUUUCGAAAUUGAAGACAUGGCAGGGAAAGCACAAUCUCAUCAAUGGAACAACGAACACUUGAAAAAAGACUAUCAGUGAUGAGUUUUUGUUCCGAUCCAAUCUCAAUGUUGUCUAAUAAGUUUGUGUCCCGAUCCGAUCUCAUUUGUAAUUUUCCUAUCUUAUUGGACGCUGAAAAUGCCUUGGUAAUGGAUAAUAUAACUUUUUUAAGUAUUGAUACUUCAGUUCUUUGUCACAUUGGUUAUCAAAUUGUAACCUCGGUCCCUCAGUAUUAUUGCUUAAGUGAUCUGGUCUUCUGAUGUUGUUAAGAGGCGCCUGAUUAUUACUUAAGUGAUCCGAUCUUCUGAUUAUUGUUAAGAGACGCUUGAUGAUUACUUAAGUGGUCCGAUCUUCUGAUUGUUGUUAAGAGACACUUAGUCUUAAAAGGUUGUUAUUCAUAUGUGCAUAAACAGAUCAAUAUGAUACGAAAGUCGAAGCAAUAACACUUGGUAAAAAAUUGUUCAUUUCAUUCACUUCAAAUUUACAAGAGGCCGAAGCCAUUACAAAAUAAGCCCUACUCUACAGGAGGCCCUUCCCCAGCCUCGCCGGCCUCAGGGGCUACCGAAGUGUCCUCAGCAAGCCUAUCAAACCGGCCUCCAGUAAAUCCCCCGAACUCUGCCUCUAAAGAGGAGAUGUCCAAAGUAGGGUGGACCUCCUUCAGCAGACACAAUAUGCCUUGUGCACUCCAAGAGGCCCAGAAAUUUGCAAAUUCGUUGUACAGGGGAUGUUUCUCGAAGUGGUCAAUGAAAUUCUGAACAGCCACUUUCCCUGCCGACUUCAGUUCCUCCUUCAAGGAGGCAAUUUCCUCAUACUGGGCCUCCGUCCUCGGCCUCAGCUCAGCUUUCUCUUUAUUGGAGGCCUCCAGAGCCUCCGUGGCAAGCCGGUGGUGCUUGUUGGCGUGAUCCACUCUUCGGGUCAUGGCAAACAUCUAGCACUCCACUUUAUAGAGUUCCUUCUUCAGCCGCUCUAUGUCUCCCGCAAUAGCCGCCAGCUGGGCCUCAGCCUCCGUCCUCCUUUUCUCUUCCUCCGCAGCCUUAGCCUUAGCCUGGGCCUCCAUCACCUUGUCCCCAUAUUGCAUCGCCUCCUUGAGGCGCUUGGCAAGGUCCUCUCUUUUAGUGUUGAGGUCCUUCACCAAUCCCUCGAGCUGGAUGUUGGUGCUCAGAGCCCGGACCAAACAAGCAUUGUUGGCCGCUACCAAGUCCUCGGCUAUGCAAGAGGCGGUGUGGUUCCUCCAUUCUUCGGUCCAAUACUUAUUGUGGACCACCACCACUGCAGCCGUGGGGAAAGAGCCUCCAGUACUUCUUUAAUCGGCUCCUCGGAGUUAGUGCUCAAGAAGUCCACCUCCUUUGAGGGACGAGCUCUUUUCUUCUUAGGCUGCCCCGGCACCUGGGCGAGAGGGACAGUAGCAACUAGCGCCUUGGUCGGGGCAGGGGAAGCCUCUGAGGACACGGGCGUUCUCUCCAGAAUGGCCACCUUGUAGGAAUUGUGGUUUGCCUCAGAACGGGGGGUGGGCUCACCACCGUUGGCCGCUUCGAAGGGGCAGCAGGUUUUUUGCCCUUCUGAAGCAAAU
This 1857-nucleotide long non-coding RNA is filed under the name Olea europaea subsp. europaea. The record is from RNAcentral. Lineage: Eukaryota; Viridiplantae; Streptophyta; Magnoliopsida; Lamiales; Oleaceae.